CUCCUCCCUCCCAGAUAAAAAAAAAACCAAUCAUCAAUAUAUCGUCUAUAGCGGACUAGAUUCGCAACCCAGGGAUGUAUAGAGGGCUAGAUUUGCAACCCAGGGAUGUAUAGAGGACUGGAUUCGCUACCCAGGGAUGUAUAGAGGACUGGAUUCGCUACCCAGGGAUGUAUAGAGGACUGGAUUCGCUACCCAGGGAUGUAUAGAGGACUGGAUUCGCUACCCAGGGAUGUAUAGAGGACUAGAUUUGCAACCCAGGGAUGUAUAGUGGACUAGAUUCACAACUUUAUACAAAGUUCAUGGGACUAAAGCAACUCUGAAUCCGAAAACUGUAUAUUAAUCUCCUGUUUUUUUGCUAGAGACAUAGUCACAUAGCAUUUCUCACAUCUUUUUUUUGCUGUUGAUCAAAAGGAAUGCAAAAAAAAUUCAGUUUGAG
This is a non-coding RNA of Pelobates cultripes (western spadefoot toad), 436 nucleotides long. Lineage: Eukaryota; Metazoa; Chordata; Amphibia; Anura; Pelobatidae. The record is from the annotation of a GenBank genome assembly.